This is a long non-coding RNA of Exaiptasia diaphana, 1017 nucleotides long. RefSeq lists it as uncharacterized. The record is from RefSeq and is a predicted model, not a curated record. NCBI's taxonomy places the organism in Eukaryota, Metazoa, Cnidaria, Anthozoa, Actiniaria, Aiptasiidae. The transcript is spliced from 5 exons.
UGUGGCGUUCCAAGCAAUUAAAACAAAGUGACGCUACGUAAGCAGUCUGGAUCACGCGACUGCCUGUUCCAUCAGGAAGUUACUCUUGACAAAUUAUCUUUCAAGCUACUGCGUUUUUCAAGCGUUUAAAGUUCAUUUUUAUAUCGUAAAGUAGAACAUCUUCGAAUCAAAGUCAUAGUCGUUCGUUUAUUGUGUAAAAUCACGACCUUGGUGAUGUUUGUAAGUUGAUCGAAACACUUCAGACCCGCUUCAGUCAAGCAAAGAGAAGCAGAUUCUCGCCAAACAUGACUUUAUACUGAAGUUUUAUACUGAAGGUUAGUAUAGCAGUUUCAUCAUAAUAACCAUAACUGAUGAUCAAAAAGCAUACUGUACGUGUGGUAGUAAUAAGAGUCUAACUUGAGAACUAUUCUUGAGGUUAUUCAGCUUACAGAAAAUUGAAAUCAAUUUAUCAUCAUACCCAUCAAAGUCCCCAACAAGACCAGAAAUCUUCUAGCUGAUUUUAUAGGAGUCCACUGUAUUUUAUGUAAAAGAUGUAAGACUGAAGUAAAAACCAUCAGAUGAAAGCCUCAAUGAUAAGCAUUUAGGAUGGCCAUGGCAAGUCCUGAUAAGUUUACUGAAGAACAAUUGAACUAUUUUCGCAUCUGUCACGUGACAGCUCGACUCGUUCCUGAUGGCCUCCGUCAAGUGUUCAAAAAAGAGUGGGACGCUCGUUAYAAGACAUCGCAUGGUGAAUGGAACGACACUGCGAAAAAUGGAAUUGAUUUCUACAGCUUGAUACCAGCARCAGAGCAAACAUCGAAAGCGAAAGAACUUUCUAUCAUUAGAAAUGGCAACACAAUGGAAUGGGACUGCACUUGUCUUUUUUACGCAAUCCUUUACUCCAAGUGUAUUGGAAAGAAUAAACUUGACCCAAAGGUAAAGAAAACUGUUGAUGACCUGAGAAAGUAUCGCAACAAAUUCGCUCACUCCCACGAAGACACGAGCACUGAUGCAGAUUUCCAGGCUUCCAUGCAAGAU